GAUCAAGUGUCUUAAGGGCAAUUGGUGGAUGCCUUGGCAUGCACAGGCGAUGAAGGACGUGAUACGCUGCGAUAAGCUACGGGGAGGUGCGAAUACCCUUUGAUCCGUAGAUUUCCGAAUGGGGAAACCCACCUAAGGUACUUGGAAAAUCAGAGCAGCAGGCCUGCGCGAUCUCUUUGGGAUCGCGUUGGAGCGACAAUCUCUUCGAGAUUGCGCUGAUGCUGCUGUGGUUUCCAAGUAUCGAUAAUAGGUAACUUACCCUGAAUACAUAGGGGUAAAGUGGCGAACGCGGGGAACUGAAACAUCUAAGUACCCGUAGGAAAGGACAUCAACCGAGACUCCGGAAGUAGCGGCGAGCGAACCCGGACCAGGCCAGUGGCGAUGAUGAGACAAGCGGAACCUUCUGGAAAGUAGGGCCAUAGUGGGUGACAGCCCCGUACGCGUAAUGCAAAUCAUCGUCCUCGAGUAAGGCGGGACACGUGAAAUCCUGUCUGAAAUUGGGGGGACCACCCUCCAAGCCUAAGUACUCGUGCAUGACCGAUAGCGAACUAGUACCGUGAGGGAAAGGUGAAAAGCACCCCGACAAGGGGAGUGAAAGAGUACCUGAAACCGAUUGCCUACAAACAGUGGAAGCCCAAGGUUCGUCCUGGGUGACCACGUACCUUUUGUAUAAUGGGUCAGCGACUUAGUGUGACGAGCAAGCUUAAACCGCUAGGUGUAGGCGCAGCGAAAGCGAGUCUGAAUAGGGCGUUCAGUUCGUCGCAUUAGACCCGAAACCGAGUGAUCUAGCCAUGAGCAGGUUGAAGGUAAGGUAACACUUACUGGAGGACCGAACCCAUAACUGUUGCAAUAGUUCGGGAUGACUUGUGGCUAGGGGUGAAAGGCCAAUCAAACUCGGAAAUAGCUGGUUCUCCGCGAAAUCUAUUUAGGUAGAGCGUCGACCGAAUACCCCAGGGGGUAGAGCACUGGAUGGGCUAGGGGUCCUCACCGGAUUACCAAACCUAACCAAACUCCGAAUACCUGGGAGUACUAGUCGGCAGACACACGGCGGGUGCUAACGUCCGUCGUGAAAAGGGAAACAACCCUGACCUACAGCUAAGGUCCCCAAGUUAUGGCUAAGUGGGAAAGGAUGUGAGGAUCCCAAAACAACCAGGAUGUUGGCUUAGAAGCAGCCAUCAUUUAAAGAAAGCGUAACAGCUCACUGGUCUAAAUAAGGGUCUUUGCGCCGAAAAUGUAACGGGGCUAAAGCCAUACACCGAAGCUUAGGGUUCGUGAGCAAUCACGAGCGGUAGCGGAGCGUUCUGUAAGCUGAUGAAGCCAUACCCGUGAGGGGUGGUGGAGGUAUCAGAAGUGCGAAUGCUGACAUGAGUAACGUAAGGGGAGUGAGAGACUCCCCCGCCGAAAGACCAAGGGUUCCUGCUUAAAGCUAAUCUGAGCAGGGUUAGCCGGCCCCUAAGACGAGGCGGAAACGCGUAGUCGAUGGGAACCACGUUAAUAUUCGUGGGCUUGGAGGUAGUGACGGAUCAUUGAGGUAGUCCAAUCUUAUCGGAUUGAACGGGCUGCUGCGUGGUUCCAGGAAAUAGCUCCUCCUUAUAAACCGUACCCGAAACCGACACUGGUGGUCUGGUAGAGUAUACCAAGGCGCUUGAGAGAACUAUGCUGAAGGAACUCGGCAAAUUGCACGCGUAACUUCGGAAGAAGCGUGACCCUUUUCCACGCAAGUGGAGGAGGGUGGCACAGACCAGGGGGUAGCGACUGUUUAUCAAAAACACAGGGCUCUGCGAAGUCGCAAGACGACGUAUAGGGUCUGACGCCUGCCCGGUGCUGGAAGGUUAAGAGGAGGGGUGCAAGCUCUGAAUCGAAGCCCCAGUAAACGGCGGCCGUAACUAUAACGGUCCUAAGGUAGCGAAAUUCCUUGUCGGGUAAGUUCCGACCUGCACGAAUGGCGUAACGACUUCCCCGCUGUCUCCAGCAUAGACUCAGUGAAAUUGAAUUCCCCGUGAAGAUGCGGGGUUCCUGCGGUUAGACGGAAAGACCCCGUGCACCUUUACUAUAGCUUUACAUUGGCAUUCGUAGUGGCAUGUGUAGGAUAGGUGGUAGGCUUUGAAACCUGGGCGCCAGCUCAGGUGGAGCCACCCUUGAAAUACCACCCUUAUUACUAUGGAUGUCUAACCGCGGCCCGUUAUCCGGGUCCGGGACAAUGUAUGGUGGGUAGUUUGACUGGGGCGGUCGCCUCCUAAAGAGUAACGGAGGCGCGCGAUGGUGGGCUCAGAACGGUCGGAAAUCGUUCGCUGAGUGCAAUGGCAUAAGCCUGCCUGACUGCGAGACUGACAAGUCGAGCAGAGACGAAAGUCGGUCAUAGUGAUCCGGUGGUCCCGCGUGGAAGGGCCAUCGCUCAACGAAUAAAAGGUACGCCGGGGAUAACAGGCUGAUGACCCCCAAGAGUCCAUAUCGACGGGGUUGUUUGGCACCUCGAUGUCGACUCAUCGCAUCCUGGGGCUGGAGCAGGUCCCAAGGGUAUGGCUGUUCGCCAUUUAAAGCGGUACGUGAGUUGGGUUCAGAACGUCGUGAGACAGUUCGGUCCCUAUCUGCCGUGGGUGUAGGAAUAUUGAAAGGAUCUGUCCCUAGUACGAGAGGACCGGGAUGGACGGAUCUCUGGUGGACCUGUUGUGGCGCCAGCCGCAUAGCAGGGUAGCUAUAUCCGGACGGGAUAACCGCUGAAGGCAUCUAAGCGGGAAACCCACCUUAAAACGAGUAUUCCCUGAGAACCGUGGAAGACGACCACGUUGAUAGGCCGGGUGUGGAAGAGCGGCAACGCUUGAAGCUUACCGGUACUAAUAGUUCGAUCGGCUUGAUCGU
RNAcentral lists this ribosomal RNA (2859 nucleotides) under Mesorhizobium sangaii. Its description in RNAcentral is "23S ribosomal RNA". It matches the Rfam family "Bacterial large subunit ribosomal RNA". The record is from RNAcentral. Lineage: Bacteria; Pseudomonadati; Pseudomonadota; Alphaproteobacteria; Hyphomicrobiales; Phyllobacteriaceae.